UGGGGGAGUUUGGGUGGGGAAGGGACACUGGCCAGGGUCUGGGGUCCCAGGAUGGUAAGGGGGAGUAGGAGACAUUGGAGGCAGGAGCAGAAUUUGGGAUGCGGUGAGUAGGGGGUGGGGGGCUCACCUUCUCAGCCCGCACCUCGAUGUGGUUGUUGGAGGUGGUGACAAUGAUGUCUUCAGGUGAGAAGUCUCUCACGUCCACCGCAAACUCAUAGGCGUCUCCUAGGGUCUUGAUGUUGCCUGCCCCACCGGGGCGGGCUGUGGGAUGGGCUGCUGUGAGCGAGGCAUGGAGCAGGCCUUGCAUGCAGAUCCGGGGGUUCUGGCUCCUUCUCUUGGGGCAAGGGGCGGCUCCCCCAGGCCCUACCUCCCCCCUAGCUGUUUCUCCCUAAGCUCCUCCUCAUUCCUACAGCCCACCUUUUCUGGGGUGGGGGUGGGGCCUCACCCAGCACAGUGUGUGUGUAUAUGAGGCUAGGUCUGUAACAACCCCACCCCAGGCCUGGAGCCUGGGGGCUGCCCCCCACCGCUCACCCAUCCAGCCCUCCAGGGCUCCAGCUGGGAUUGGCUGUGGUUACAGAGCAUGGGUGGCCAUGGAACCAUGUCCAACCCCCAGGGCCACAACUGUUCCUUAGAGGCCCACCUGUUUUCAUGGCCACAUCUGUCCCUGUGGCCACAUCUGUCUUGGUGGCCACACAUGGCUGCAGGCUGUGCAGCACCUGUUCCAGGCCGACCGGCAGCCACAGCGCCUUCGGUGGCGCCCUGGAGCAGACGUCCCCUCCCUGUGCACCUCCCCUCCCCUCAGGGCCCGGAUCACUUGCCUGGGAAGGCCAGGGGCUCCGAGUGGGGCCGCAUGAAGCUGCCAAAGUCAUCGGAAAACAUGCUCAGGGCCUUCUCCAUGGGCGGGUCCUGGGCCGGGAGAGCACGGGAGGCCGAGGAGGAGGUGGAAGAGGAGGAGGAAGAGGAAGAGGAAUGGAAACUUCUCUCCGCUCGGAAGGUGGAAGAGGUUCUGUGGCUCAUCCACGGACGGCGCCGGGCCCUGCCCAGGCGGGCGAGGGCUGGACAGGAGAGGGUGUGGGCGCAGGCCUCUGGGCGAGCGUGCCAGGCUCCGACUGCGGCCGCUUUAUAAGGCCGACUGUCCCUGGGCUUGGGGCCAGCCCCUUGUCUACUAGCUAAAUUUAGGCCUCUCCAUGGCCCAGAGGGGGCUGGAAAUCUUCUCCCGUGCGCCGGCCCUGCUGACAGCCCGACACGCAGGCCGAGAGGGCUGAGCUCACAGCCUGACAUUCCAGGCUGAUCACAGCAGCCCCAGGGGCCUCCUCACCACUGCACAGGGCUGGAUCCUGUCUCCUUGCCACUCGGACCUCGGUGCCUGCCCCAGAACCUUGCAAGUUUGGGGUUUAUUGUGUGUUUUGUUUCCCCCGUCAGCCUGGGGGCUCCUGAGGACUGUGCCUCCCCUCCAGACUCUGGUUCUCCUCCACGGCUGUACCUCCUCCAUCAGUGUGCAGGCUCCUUGGGGACAGGGUAGGUGGAAGCACCACCGCUCUGUGACGUCAGGAGCUCCUUCCCUCAAGGCAGACAACCUUCACAGCCCAUCUCUAAGGAAAGGUUGAGCCCUGCCAGGGGGUGUAAAAUGUGCAGCUGUCCCCUGCCAGCCCCCAUGGGGACCUGGAUUCUGUGCCUGCACUCCCUCUGACUCUCAGAACAUUCAGCAGCCCCAAGAGGACAAAGUUGGCAGCUUUCUCCUUAAAGGUCUAGAAGGUUGUGUUCCCGGCAACUGUCUGCUCCAUCUCUGUGUCAGAGGUGAUGCCUGCGAGCGCCUUAGGUGGGAUUUCAGUCAGAGGUAAAAGAGAAUUCCGGAAGACAAUUAUUCUAGCCCUGAGUUCUAGAAUGCCUUCUGGGCAUGGGCUCCUGGCUGCAAGCUGUCCAGCACGGCCCCGUUUGAUCCCCACACAGCUGGGAGGGUGGAGGGGCUCUUCCCAUGUUACGGACGGGGAAGCGAAGCCUCUUGGAAAGGGCGGGGCUCGCAGUUGCAUCACAGAGACAGAAGGAGCUACAAAGAUGAUGCAGUCCUUUGAAUCCCAGUCACCCAGGAGAGCUUUUCACAAACACAGACCCUUUCCUUGGACCCCAGGAUUUUGAUUUGGGAUCUGGGGAAGGGACCUCACAUCUCUUCCCAUCAGCUCCCCACACAGCCAGCUCAUAGGCCAGUGAUGAAGCCCUCAUCACUCAGUGUCGGCCUCCUCGCCAGCCCUGGACAAGAUGGGUCAUCAGGAUGGGACCGUGUGGCACAGCCUGCGGGCUUUGGAGCCAGGCAAACCUGGGCUGGGAAUCCUGGCUCUGCCUCGGCCUCCGUGAUCUUAGACAGGCAGCCCCAGCUCCCUGAGACACCAUUUCUCUACAACGGGAUCACGCUGCCUGCCUCGUGGGAUUUCCGUGGGCACUCAGGGUAAUUAAUCUGGGAGAAGGCUGACUCUCUACCUGACACACAGGGAGGCUGUGGUCAUGCUGGCCCCACUCACCAUUGCCCCCCUGCCUUCUCCUUCCCUUCCCAGCCUCCUCCCCUCUCCCUCUGUGCUUUUUCAAACCUUCCAUGUCCAGCUCUGAGACCCCUGGACCCUGAGUCUCAGCCUUGGCAGAUGACCCCUCUCUGUCCUGCUGUGUGCAUGAGCUCCCCCUUCCCAGCCCUCGUCCAGCAGCACCCAGGAGCCUGAGUACAGCUGGGCACCACCCUCUGUGCAGCUGUGAUGGGUGGGGAGGCUCCUGCU
This 2762-nucleotide long non-coding RNA is filed under the name Homo sapiens (human). RNAcentral's name for it is "long non-coding RNA NONHSAT001081.2". Lineage: Eukaryota; Metazoa; Chordata; Mammalia; Primates; Hominidae. The record is from RNAcentral.